UUAAUCCCAGCACUAGAGAGGUAUAAAAGGAAGAAGCAAAGGACCUCGUGUGACAUUUAUUCUCCAGCCACACUGAGAAUAGGACAGCCCUUUCAGCCUGAGGUAGAGGUAAGAGUUAGUGGCCAGCUUCUUCACUUAUCUGUCCAUCAGCUUAAACCCCAAUAUCUGCCUCUGGGUUUUUAUUAUUUGUGUUACAGAUGGGUCCUGAGGUGGGGUGGGGAGCAGGGCCUGGCCAAACAGCUCUCGGGAGAAGCACUCCCCCACCUAUGAGAAGCUGCUAUUCUUGGCACCUUCUGGGUUUUGUCCCUGGAAAUGGACCUACAAAUUUCAGAUGACUUUAGAAUCAUUUCCAAAACAGCAUUAGGAGCUGGGAGACAUGGCUCAGAGAGUAACAUGCUUGCCAGCAGAAACAUAAGGACCCACAUCCAAAAUCCACUGAAAAAGCCCAGCAUUGUAGUAUACACCAGUGCCGGGAGGUGAUGACAGGUGGGCCUCUAGGAGCUUGGUGGCCAACCAGAAUGCCAAAUGAGGAAGCCCCAGGCCAGUGGGAAAUCCUAUCCCAAAACCCAAACAAACGAACAAAAAACCAAUAGCAACAACAAAAGACUGGGCGGCUGGAGAGAUGGCUUGUCAGAUAUUCUUCCAGAGGACCUGAGUUUUGUCCUCAACAUCACGCAGCUCACAAGAGGGUGUCAAAAUCUGACACCCUCUUCUGGCCUCUGAGGGCACCCACACAUGUGGCAUACAGACACACACACAUACACACACACACACACACACACACACACAGUAAAAAAUAAUAAUUUUUAAAGGUAGGAGGCUGAUAAGAUGGCUCAGUGGUAAAGGUGAUUUCUGCCAAGCCUAAAAACCUGAAUUUAAUCCCCAAGAUAUACAUGGUGGAAAGAAAAAAAAAAAAAAAAAAAAGACUGGUACCCAGCAGUUGUCCUCUGAGCUUCACCUGUUUAAAACCAAAUAUAUGUGUGGCAAGGCCUGGGGCCAGCGUCUUGGAGUAGGUUCAGUUUCAAGAUCUUGAGAACUCAACUGUCCCCCCUCCCUGAAGGUCUAUGGCUACUGAGCUCGUAGUCUGUGACACAUGAGCUAUGCUGUGUUCCCUUUGUGUACCAUUACUUGAUUAGCUUCCCACUGACUUUAUCCCAUUGUGUGACAGUUUUCUGCUGACUCUGUCCUAUUUCCCCUUGUAUAUAAGAUUCUGUCCUUCUUAAUAAACUUGUUUGACAUAACACAUAGCUUGUGCAAGACCUCCUGACCCCACUUUCCUAACUACUUUUACUUCUGAUCUGCUUGCUGGUCCUUCCUUUCAGAAGGUCAUAACCCAAUCUGGAUUACUCCCACAGGCAUGCCUGGGGCUAACCUAAUCUGGAUUACCCCCAUAAAACAAGCUGUACAAAAAAUCCCAUUGUAAACUAUUAUUAUUAUUGGUGUUAUUAUUAUCAUUGAACACAUAUGUGCCACAGUGUCCUUGUGGGGGUCUGCAGAGUUGGCUGUCUCCUUCCAUUUGCACAUGGGUUCUGGGGUUUAAACUCUGCUCCUUAAACUCUGAAGUGCUUUUCUUGUGGAGCCACUUGCCUGCCUGACCUUGAAUUUCUGAUACUGGGGGUUGGAUUUAGGGUUUCGUGAUGAUUAAUCUCAGAGGCUCGCCAGAGGUAAAGGUGUCCUAAAAGGACAAGCUUACUAGGGACCGUCUCCCAUGGUGGGUUGCACCUUCAGGUAACAGAUAUGGAUGUCUAAGGAUGGAAACUUUUGCUUUUUGCAUAAUUGCCUUCACUGCAAUGCUUCUACUCUGUUGUUGCAUUUGCUGCUGCCACCAUCCUCAAUUGACACCAGAACCUAGAUAAUUCAACCUUGAACUCGGUUCCACAAUGAACUAAGUAUCAGUGGCUAUCUAGAAAUCCUCCAGGCCUUCAGUGCCAAAUUGGGACAAGUGAGGCAUCCAGCCUCAUGGACUGAACGGUAACAGGGUUCUCAGACUCUCCAGUGUAAAGACAGUCAUUGUUAGCCUACCCAACCAGAAUCCUAUGAAGCAUUUUUCUUCAUGUAUGUUCAGUUCUCUUCUUUAGAGAACCCUGACUAACACACUAGGCAAGCACUCUACCAACUGAGCUAUUUCUCCAGGCCCUCCCUUUUCCUAGCCGACCCACGGUUCUCCAUUCUGACUCAGCUGGAAAUAGUUCUCUGUGGAGGAAUCAAGAUACAGACAUCACCUGACUGGAAUCUUGCAAAAAGAGCUCAGGCAGCCUGCAUGCAGUGUGGAGCUGCCUCUUUCCGGUGGCCUGAGACCAGCAUUUUCCAGCUUGCAGUCACUCUCCUGGGCUCCAUGAACAGUGACUUCCUAAGUCAGAGAGCUUGAGAGUUCAGUUGAAAAAAUGCUGUCAUCUGUAAAAAUACUUAUUUUGCCUCUGUGUUUCCCAUCGCUUUGACUGGGUGAACCUUUGUUUGCCUAUUGGACACAUUUCUUCACUAAUCCCUCCUGGGCCCCUCUGCUGCCUCCCUGACUGACAUCUUGAUCCUUUCAAGGGAGAAGAGUUUUGUCUGAAGAAAAAUGGUUUCUUCCUUUAUUUUAUUGUUCUGUUAGACUUGGAGAGAUGGCUCUUUGGUUAGGAGCACUAGUAGACAACCUGAGCUAGGUUCCCAGCACCCACACUGGGCUGCCUACAAUCACCUCCAACUCCAGCUCUAGGUAUCCAGUUUCCUCUUCUGGCCUCUGAAGUCACCUGCACUCAUGUAUACCUGCCCACACACACACACACACACACACACACACACACACACACUCACCACACAAAAAAUUAAAAUAAAUCUUUUAAUUUUUGUUAACUUAUUUAUUGAUUUACUUACUUAACAUGCGUGUUCCCGGGGGUGUGCCACUGUGACAUGUGGAAGUCCUAGGACAGUAUGAGGGUCUUGGUUGUGUCUUUCCACUGUAUGGGUCCCAAGGAAUGAACUGAGGUCAUCCGGUUUGGAGGCAGCCACCUCUACCCACCGAGCCAUCUCACCAGCUCCUGCCUUCCUUCAAUUCCAGUACCCAUUGUUGGAUCUUUUUUUUUCUCCUGUGCUUCACCCCUUCCCACUUUAUUUAUUUACUGCUCUGUUGGUGAUCAGAUCUUCUAAAUUGUUUUUUGGUAAGGUUUAUAAUUAUGUUGCUAAUGCUUCCAUUUGUUAGCAGGGAAUGUUUCUUGCUUUUGUCCUCAGAGCCUCUAUUGAAUUGCUUACUUUUACAUCUUGGGUUACAACUUAGGAGCAUUUUUCUGUUGCCAUUGUUUUAACAGCAGUCUGUCUGUUUGGGGGGUGCUUUCUUUUUAAAUCGCUUUAGAAAAUUGAUUCUCCCAUUCAAAUUUAUCUAUAGAGAUCCAUUUACCAUGUUAUAACUAUUUUAUUGAAAUUAUCUCUAUUUCCUAUGGCUGACGUUAAGUAAAAACUUCAGGAGGCUGUUGUUUAGGAGUGGACUGCUACAAUCCCCCCCCCAAAAAAAAUAAAACCAGGAAAAGAUACCAAAACAGGGGCAGAGGAGGUGGUUCCACCAAUAAAAUACUUGUCAUUGGAGCAUGAGAACCUGAGUUUAAUUCCCAGAGCCCAGAUAAACCUUCAUGUGCCGGUGGUGAUCAGCCCCACCUUCAUCAAGAGACAAAUGGUAAAGUCUUGCCCCCCUGUCAAGGCAGAUCUGGGAGGGAAAGAGGGCUCUUAUGGUAUCAUCUAAAACUUCUGCUGUACCAUGUCAGGUAGAAGAAAUGGGGCGGGGUCAUGAGAAGUGCGAAGGAGUUGAUGUCUUUGCCAGCAGUGAAGCAAGAAUCCUAGAACAGUUUACAAUGAAUGUCUUAAGGCAUUUCCCCCAGCCCAACCAUAACUCAACAUUUUUCUAGGAACAUCACCAGAAAACCCCUUUACCGGGAUAGGUCAUGUACUAGACCCUUGUGCAUCCCUAGUGGCUUCUGGUUUUGCCUUCUAAUAUUAUAAGUUCCUUGAAGGCAACUCCAAACCAUCUCACAUAUCUCUGGUUGGUCGUGGGGGUGGGGAGGAUUGUCAUUGGAAACCUUCUGCGAUGUAACUUGAGAGUCACCAAAAGAGUACAUAUGGCUAAGAUAGUUAUUUGUCCUGUCUUGGAGAAACCUGUACCUACCCUUGGGUGUGUCUUACUUUUUCCCACCCUUCCUUGUAAAGAACCCAACCCCCAUCCCACUUGGGUAUGUCUCACUUCUUCUGUGUGUCUCUUGCUCUUAACCCUCAGGCCCAAGUCUGUAUUAAAAAUAUCUAUAAUAAAAUCCACAAGUCUGCUAUAUCAACUGGCUAGUCCUGAAAUUCUUUUUGGUGCAAAAGCCACAAACAUCAUCAGAUUGACUUGAGUUGAGGUCUCUAAAAGUCCAAGAGAAUGCCUCAGGCUGAUAAGGUGUCAAUGUGGAUCUGUGUUUCUGUCCCCUCAUAGUUGACUAGACUUCUAAGUGACUUAAGGUCACUUAAAAGAAUUUCAGCAUGGUUCACUUCUAUUUUGACAUUCUUGUUUUCAAAUGUCUCCGUGUAAAAUGAGUAAGGUCUCUAUGUCAGCAGUCUUCACCAGAAAUCGUAUUUGUGCUGGGAUGUUUUACUCUUAUCUGCCUGAUGUUUCUAUGAAUGUACUUGAAAAUGCCCUGAUUUAUGACUUUCUUUUGUUUUAUAAAUAUAAGAAUGCCAUCAAUCAGUUUCCACAUUGAAACAUGCUACUUUGGGUUACUAGAACCAAUGUCUCUAGGCCAUGAUCACUCAUACUUGGCUCAACAAUAAACACUAAUUCCCUUCUAGGUGAAAGUUCAGUUUUGUAUUGAUAGCCAUAAAUGAUUGGAAGAAUUUUUUUAAUUUUUUUUUCCCCAAGGAUAGGGCCCAAACAAGGUACAGCUGGGGAGAGGUUUGGCAUAGGUUGGCCCAGCAGGGGCUUUUAAACCAGGGCUGUGACUCAAAAAAAGCAAGGGCUACAAUCAGCCUGGGGCUCUGUCUGCCUCACCACACCUGGAGGAAGCCUACCAUACAGCCAGACCUAUAGGCUUUGUGGUGUGUUCAGGAUCCAGGAAAGGGGCUUUGUGGUGUGUGCAGGAUCCAGGAAAAGGACUGAGCUUGACAUUUCAAUCAUAUUUUGUGAAAACCACAAGGGCCCACUGUUUUGGACUAAGCUCACAUUCUAGGCUCCAUCAAAACAGGCUUAUAUUGUGCUUUGAAUGAGAAUGGCCUCCAGAGGUUCAUGAGUUUGGAUACUUGGUCCCUAGUUGAUGGAACCGCUCAGGAAGGAUUAGGAGGUGUGGCCUUGUUGGAGGAUAUGUGUCACUGGAGAUGGGCUGAGAGAUUUCAAAAGCCUCCUCCCAUCCCCAGUGCUCUCUCUGCCUCCCGAUUAUGGUUGAGAUGUGAGUUCUCAGGUGUUGCUCCAGGUGCUUGCUGUUUCCACUCUGCUAUCAUGGAUUCUGUCUGGAACUGUAAACCUAAAAUAUAUGCUUCCUUUUAGAAGUUGUCUUGAUCACAGCAUUCUAUCACAGCAAUAGAAAAAUAACUAUACCAGCCUAGAAAUCAAAAUGAAGUUUAUGUCACCAACUUAACUGGAGAUGUUCAUCUGUUUAUUCACAGAAGCCAGGCCUAAGAGGAAACUAGAAGCCAGGAUUACAGAGAUAACCACAAAGUUUCCCAAAUAGGCCACUUCCAUGCUAAUGAGGCUUCCUCUGCUUAAUCUUUAUGUAGGAAACAUUAACAUAAUUUAAUUUGAAGUUAGCUAAUGCAAUAUUUUUCCCCAAGAUUAAUGUGUGUGUGUGUGUGUGUGUGUGUGUGUGUGUGUGUGUGUACUGGUGAGUGCAGAUGCUCACAGAGGCCUAACAAGGAGCUUAGAUCCCCUGAAGCUGAAGCUAAAGCUAUAGACAGCUGUAGCCACCUGAAGUGUGUGCUGGGAACUAAAAUCAGUCUUCUGCAGGAAUAGUAUGCAUUCAACCACUGAUCUCUCUCUGCAGCAUCAAGUAUUUUAAAGAUUUAUUUUUAUUGUUUGUGUUAUUUGCUUAUUGUUCUGUUUCUCUGCCCAUAAUUUGUAAUGAAAACAGCUUUGAAAUUACCUUUUUGGUCCUCUUGAAAUAGAGGGACAAUAAGAGUCCUUCUGUGUGACAGAUUUUUUUUCAUCUCAGUGAGCAUGACUCAGAGGGCUAGGAUACUGAAUGAGUGGCCAUGGAAGCCACUCCAGACUAGUGCCUUAAGCAACCCCAUCCCCCAAGAACCUAAAUGCUACCCACCCUGACAGACCUACCCUCAUGGUCAGGGACAGGUGCCCAGGCUUCCCUGGGGACAUAGGGAAGUUCAGUCACUAUAGUACUGAAGCAUGUGUCUCUGUGUCUUCUGUGACCCUCUAAUCAAGGGGUGCUCGACCUUCCAAAUGCAGCAACCCUUUAACACAGUUCCUCAUGUUGUGGUGACCCCCCAACCAUAAAAUUAUUUUCAUCGCUCCUUCAGAACUGUGAUUUUGCUACUGUUAUGAAUUGUAAUGUAAAUAUUUUUGGAGCCAGAGGUUUGCCAUACGGUUCACAGCUCACAGGUUGAGGACCACCACACUAAAGCCUUCACAGGGAUGUUCCAGGGCCAUCGGAACAGCUAUGCACAUCAACCCCAGCCCUAGGAAGGGUUCUCUGCCCCAUGCUGCUCUUGAGGAGGCUCUGUCUUGGCCUCAUUAGUUCUGUCAUUUUCCUGGGCUGAGCUCCUUCUGUUCAGCAUAUCUACUUUUGCUGCUCAAAGGUUAGUCCUCCACCAAGGGCCUUCCUGGAGUCCACUCCUGGCCAUUGCUCCCCAGGGUGGGAGAUCUACCAAGCGUGGCUAAAAGGCCUCAGGUGUGGGCUUCUAAUGGAACACUGAGGUGGGCUGGUUUGGGGGGGUAAGAAGUUUAUUUUAAAAAAUAUUAAUGCCAUGAGCAGACAGACACCAACAUGGCGGGUGCUCUGAGUUCAGAUCCCAACACCAUAGAUAACAGGCAGACAGAUAGACAGACAACAGCAUGGUGGGUGCUCUGAGUUCAGGCCCCAACACUAUAGAUAACAGACAGUAUGGCCGAUGCUCUGAGGAGAGUUUAAGACCAUGAAUGAGGCAGAAUGGUUUCUCUUUUUAUAGAAGCAAAGGAAGGAAAUAGGUUCACAGCACAAGCUUUCAGUCACACUGUCUCUGGUUCCCAGCAGGUACCAAGGGGGGCAUGGGAAAAUAAUUCCAGGGGAGAAAUGUUGGAAGAAGCACUUCCAGUUGAGGUGUACUGCAUAAUGUGUGUGCCACUACUGGUAGCCCUUUGAGGUCCCUGAGUCUAGCAGUCACACUUUGGAAAUGGGGAGCCACAGGUGAGUCUGUUAGGUAGCUAUGAAUUAAUAGGCAUGGUGUGGGAUAAUGUUCUUGUUCACUCUAAAGAUUUGUCACUCAUAUUGGCUUUCAUCAGGGUGCUAGUCAGUGGCUGUGAGGCAAAAGGGGGGGGUCCUGCUGCAAUUGGGCCCCAACGUCUCCUCAUCACCUUGAUUCUGAAAGUCACAAGUCCUAGCCUUGUCUGUCAGCACUAGAGUCAUGGCAGGGAAGAUAUCAUAGCUAAGAUAUACACACACACCCACAGAGGCGAGGGGAGAUGCACACACACCCAGGCACACACACGCAUGCACACACACACACACACACACAGAGAGAGAGAGAGAGAGAGAGAGAGAGAGAGAGAGAGAGAGGCACACACAUAUAGAGGCAAGUGGGCAUAUUUCCCUUACGACACAUAUCAUUCUGUUACUGAGAAUUUGGGGGGUCUCACUAGAGUUGUUACAUGUGACUAUGGAAAUUAGGGUUCCCUCUUAGGAAAAACCUCAGGGCAAGCAAAUUAGAAAUCUCAACAGCUGCCUGGAGGAGAAUGGAGAAGAAAAGGGGUCAUGUUGUUUGAGUUAAGCAGGCACGGCCAGCCGUCAGCCACAUUGUGAGCAUACCCCCACUGGUGAAGAACUUUAGAGAGAAUGAGAAAGCCCAAAGCACCAGAGAAAGCUUGCUUAGGCUCUGGCCAACAUCUGAAAGAAAGACAGAAAAAAGAAAAAGAGAAAGUAGGGCCUCAGGUGGGCCGAGCCAACAUGGUAGAUGUGGAGUGGCAGCGCUAGGGAUGGGAAUUCUGGGAAGGAAAAGUGCAUAUCUCAUCAAAGGGCUAUUUACUCCUCCUACCUCUUUAGCUUGGCUUAAGGUGAGCCUUCCUAGGGGUGGUCCCACUUCCCUCAAGGGUGGUCCCUUGGCCUGGUCAUUGACCUUGACUGAAUGGAAUGCUAAGUCUCUCCCCAGGCCAGAGAUUCCAUACUCUUGAGCCUUAUUGCUGCUGUAAUAAUUCUGUCUGUACAUCAACCCCUCCAAAAAGACUGAAUUCCAGACUCACUCCCCACCCUUCCCGUGGAUGGGCCCCAGCUUGUCAGGUCAGAGUGAAAUGUUCCCCAGGUGAGCAGCUUGUGGCCAACUGCCUUUUCUGCUCACUCAGACACAAUAUCUGGGAUUUGGAUAACGAGAGAAACGGGAAAGGAGUGCAAGGGCAAGUUCCCAUGCAGGAGGGGCUGGACAUAGAGAGGACCUGUGCUUCCAGCCAGGCAAUGUUGCCCUUGGAGGAGGAAGGGUGACCUCUUAUUCUCAGGGCUCCCCAGCUGGGCUCAGGAAACAUCCUCACAGUGGGUGGCCUGACCCCACAGAUACUAGACUGACCAGAGACUUCCAAUUCCUCCCUCCCAGGCAGCUGCUUCUCCUCCCAGCUUCUCAGGAAGGGAAGAUAGCAAGGGGGCUGGUGUGCCCAGAGAGGCAGGCCAGGCCUAUCACUGCAGAGCUCUCCUUUCCUUCCUUCCUUCCUUCCUUCCUUCCUUCCUUCCAUCUUUCUUCCUUCCUUCCUCCCUCCCUCCCUCCCUCCCUUCCUUCCUUUCUUUCUUUCUCAGUAUCUUUCUGCCUGUCUUCCUUCCUGCCUGCCUUUAUUUCUUCCUUUCUUCAUUCUUUCUUUUUUCCUGUCUUUCUCUCUCACUCUCUUUCUGUUUACUAUCUCCGUGUGUACAGUGUAGGCAUGUGUAUUAUGUAUGUGAAACUGUGGUGGUUACAGGUUUGACACUGGAUGUCUGCCUCCUUAUUUUAAUUUUUAACUUUAAAAAAUUACAUGUAUUUACUUAUUUGUUAGGAGUGUAGGAAGGGGAGGGGCACAUAGAAGAGGACAGCUUGCAGGAGUCAACUCCCUCCUUUUGCCCACACACAUAGUCCCAGGGUGUAGACCUCAGACUUGGUGGCAAGAACUACUUCUUCCUCAAUAGGCAGCCUAUUCCCCUACCAUCCCUCUAAAAGGCCAAGGGAGGGACCAUGGGCAUUAUCCACAGGGAACUUUGGGGACCCAACAGUCUGAAUGAAGUUCACAAUGUUCUCUUCCAGCUUGAUCUUCUCCCUGGUGCACGUGACUGUCCUUUCUUCUGUUAUCCAUUCAGACAUUCACUGCUAUUUUCCCUGACCUUGAACCAUUUCAGACGCUGGGCACACAGAGCCUCCAUCCUCAGCAGUGUGUACUGUGGAUGACAAAAGCAAAAAGAGCAAGUGCACAAAUGUGUAUCAGCUGCUUUCUUUGAGCUAGAAAGAAUGAAAGGGAAUUGCAGAUUGGAGACCUGAUCAGAGGCUGUGAGCGAGGGCUAAGAGCCUUGCAAUCUCAAGUGGCCCUGCAGAGAAGUUUAAGAUAUCUGGGAAAGGCCACAGCAGAGAAGCCACCAGUGCAAAGGCCACAGGACAGGGGGGUUGUUUCAGAUGUUCUAGAAAGGAAAGUCAGGCCCCAUGUACUCUUAUACAAGGGUGCAUGACACACUAACAGACACUAUAAGUGGAUCUACUCACACUCACACACACUGAUGCUCAUGGGUACCUGCAUCCUCACCCCUGCAUUCCCACAGACACGAACUCAUUCUGAUACCCAUGUGUACUCUCCUGCACCCAUACACUCACCCAUGCACUGACACCAGCAUGUGUUCACCCUCACACUCACAGGCACUCAUAUACACCAACACACCUGCCCAUGCUCGCACCCUUCCUUAACACUUUCAGUCUGGUAUGUGCAUAUACAAACCCACUCAAACUACUGAGCUCUGGCUGUGCCAGCAGGACCACCAAAGGUCACAGUGUGGGAGAGGCGAAGGUGUGGACCACUGCUCUACCUUCAGUCCCCUCCCCAAGCCUGCUCCAGACUGGUGUUGAAGAAUGGCUGCCUGGGGACUUCUCCUGGCAGAGAGGGUGCCCUGAGGAAGCUCCACACUGCCAGGGGCCCAGAGAAAUGGAAAGCAUGGCUGAGAGGGCUACAGGUCAGGCCUGCUCACAGGUCAUGCCUGCAUUCCUCUAUACGCUGGCCCUGCACAGCUACGGCAGUCCACUGGUGAGGGGAGCACCACGGAGCUUCCUCACUCGCCUGUGCCCACUGCACUUCUCAGGCAGAGGACGUCGGUACCUGUGACGGCAGAUCUUGAUCAUCAGCUUGAUGGGAUCCGGAGCAGUGGUUCCCAACCCUCCUAAUGCUGCGACCCUUUAAUACAGUUCCUCGUGUUGUGGUGACUGCCAGCCUCACGACUAUUUUCAUUGCUACUUCAUAACUGUAAUUUUGCUACUGUUUUGAACUGUAAUGUAAAUAUCUGUGUUUUCCCGUGGUCUUAGGUGACCCCCGCUCCCUGUGAAACGGUCAAUUGAUCCCUAAAGGGGUCAUGACCUAGGAAUUGAGAACGGCUGAUCUAGAAUCAUCUAGGAAACAAGCCUUGGUUUAACUGAGGCAAGAUGACUUGCCCUGACUGUGGGGCAGCAUCACACCAUGGGAACCCCGGGGGCAUAAAAAUGAAAAAGCAA
Molecule: non-coding RNA, 10842 nt
Organism: Cricetulus griseus (Chinese hamster)
Lineage: Eukaryota; Metazoa; Chordata; Mammalia; Rodentia; Cricetidae
Source: RefSeq, a predicted model, not a curated record